Marmota monax (woodchuck) is the source of this 2360-nucleotide long non-coding RNA. RefSeq lists it as uncharacterized. NCBI's taxonomy places the organism in Eukaryota, Metazoa, Chordata, Mammalia, Rodentia, Sciuridae. The transcript is spliced from 10 exons. The record is from RefSeq and is a predicted model, not a curated record.
AGGAAACAACAACAAAAAAAAAAAACGGGGGUGGAGUUCGUUUGAGUUUCAUUUCUGUCAACAUGACGAUGAAGUUCACAGAACACUACGAGGGAAGCCAGCAGGAACAGAAGUGAAAGUCCCAAAGGCUUUCUCCGUUCUACAACAAUGUCAGGUCAUGUGUGGUUUCAAAAGAGCUACCUGAAAACAGGGAAGCACCAGCGACCUUUGGACACAUUGGAACCUAAGAGAAAAGGACAUAAACAGAACCUUUUCCUGAGGUGAAGGCUCCAGGUUAUUUUCUCUGCCUUAAGGAAGUAAGAAGAACUUGAAACUCAGAGAUUACAGUAAUUUAUCCAAGGUGAAGAACUGACAGGUGUAAACUGACAUCAUAAAACUGGGAAAAAUGGAAGUUUUCUUCGUGAGACAUUCUAGAAUACUGGCCAAGACCAUUUCACCUUAAUGUGGCUGGGGAUGCUGCACAUAUUUACUGUCUUCCCCCAGAGCUUUCCCGCCAUCUGUCACCAGAUCCUGAAGCCCAUAAGUAAGCUGCUCCGAGAACAUCUAUACAGCCCCUUACCAAGUGUCUGAAGGUGGGGAACUAGAACUGAAAUGAGGGGAAGUCUGGAAAUCGGAUUCUCCUUUCCCCGGUGUGCAUGAUUCACGUGGAGUGAGCAUUUACAGCUGUUGUCUGCAUGAGCAGAGACAGAUGAAAAUUAAAGAAAGUAGAGAAGAGAGUAAAGAAAUAAAGAAAUAAAAAGACAAUAUUCAAGGCAUGCACCACCAUACCUGGCCCAGCACAGAGUCUUAAAAUACAGAAGUGUUUUUGCUAUCUUGCUGUUCUCUUAGGUGGAGGAGGACACAUGUGUUGGUGAGUUAAGAGGGGCAACAUGAGCAGGAAUGAGGUAAAUCCAAUCAUUUUAGGCCUUGUUAGAAUAAAUAGUAUAGGUCUGAAGAUCCCUUGGUUCUGUGAGAACGGUAAAAGGUCUCGGCUGAGUGGUUGCCAUGGUCUUAGCCCUCCCGGACACAGAAGGACAAUAAAGACUUAAUUCCAAGAAAUAGAAAGUCAAACUAGCAAAGCCACUGAAAGAAAACAACUCAGGCUAAUUUUCACAGAAUCUGUUAGUUAACUGCCUUUUAUGGCUCUUCCAAAUAUCACGCUCUAUGGGACAGAGAACCCUGAGGCAUUUUUUUUCCCAAUAGAGUUCAGACAUCAGAAACCUCUCCAAAGUGAGGACAAGCGUGAUCACGAAGCUCUCUCUUGCUGGUGUGGUGGGCGUGACUUUUAGAAGGGAGACACCAAAAUACUUCACCUGGAAAAUGUCAUAAUAUGAGGACUUAUAUUUAGACCUUAACUUUGCUAAUAAAUUUCUUUUCUGAUUUCUCCUGCCCUCUUUUCAACUUCAAAAGUCACAGGGGCAUAGAGCAAAAAUCACUGCACCAUAAUAUAAAGGAGGUAGCCCUGGGCACAGCACUGCUGCUUCUAAACUCUGGGUCCUUGGACAAGCCAUCUCUGCUCCCAGAGCCUCAGACCUCUACUUGCUUUCCUGCUACUUCAAACAGCGGUAGUGAGAGCCAAAUUCGAUGUAUGUGAAGACGUUUCGCCACUUAUGUAUGCCCUAUGUGGACACAAAGCAUGAUUAUUAAUAUAACACUGACCAACUAAAAGGGUCCAGACAUCAUUUUCUCAUUCAAAGGACUGAGGAGUAGAGAGUAAAAGAAAUCACAGUGCAUUUCUGAAUGCACUUUUGAAGUUGUGGGAGGCAAACUGAACUAAAAAGAGUAGACUCUGGGAACAGCCAGACAUGAAUCCAAACACUACCACUUUGCAGAUCUCGUAUCUGCUCUGUGCUCUAUGAUGUUAUCUGUAAAGGGAAGAAUCUCUUUGCAAAAUGCCUGAUGAAGAGUAUGGACACAAUAAAUAACUUACACCUCUAAAGUUCUUCACAAAAAAAACAGAGAUAGAAGACACUCCUUAGCCAUAAGGGCCAAAGUUGUAAUAGGAGCACAUUUCAAGUCUCUUGAUACAGGUCAGGAAAUUGAAGCAGUUCCACAAGAUAAAUUUUAUCCAAUUUCAUGAAAUUCUGCAUAUUUUGCAAGAAUCCAACUCUGCUAUCUAUAAGAUUGGUGUUUAAAAUAUCCUGCAGCUUGUAAAAGACAGACUGGAAAAACGUUGUCUUGGGCAGAGAUGAUCAUUCAAGCUAAGCAGGAAGGUUGUUUCAGAGAGGAAAAAUUGUGUGAGUAUUUGGUUCAUUGAUAAAUAGUUUCAAGUAAUGACAAACUUUUCCUCUCUGUAUAACCAUGGAAUAUAUUUCUUCAUGUUUAAUCAUGGCGUAAAGGAAUUUGGGUAAUAAAAACUGGAUAUGAAGGAAAUCUGAUAA